UUUAUUACCCUUGUCUUUUGCGCACUUGUUGUUUCCUGGGCGGGCUCGCCCGCCACCAGGACCACAUACAAACCUUUUUUAUGUAGUUGCAAUCAGCGUCAGUAUAACAAAUGUAAAUCAUUUACAACUUUCAACAACGGAUCUCUUGGUUCUGGCAUCGAUGAAGAACGCAGCGAAAUGCGAUACGUAGUGUGAAUUGCAGAAUUCAGUGAAUCAUCGAAUCUUUGAACGCACAUUGCGCCCUUUGGUAUUCCAAAGGGCAUGCCUGUUCGAGCGUCAUUUGUACCCUCAAGCUUUGCUUGGUGUUGGGCGUUUUUUUGUCUUUGGCCUGCCCAAAGACUCGCCUCAAAACGAUUGGCAGCCGGCCUCCUGGUUUCGCAGCGCAGCACAUUUUUGCGCUUGCAAUCAGCAAUAGAGGACGGCACUCCAUCAAGACUCGUUUAUCACUUUUGACCUCGGAUCAGGUAGGGAUACCCGC
RNAcentral lists this ribosomal RNA (478 nucleotides) under Dothideomycetes sp. MX541. Its description in RNAcentral is "eukaryotic LSU rRNA". The stretch from base 126 to 279 matches the Rfam family "5.8S ribosomal RNA". The record is from RNAcentral. Lineage: Eukaryota; Fungi; Ascomycota; Dothideomycetes.